This 440-nucleotide ribosomal RNA is filed under the name uncultured bacterium. RNAcentral's name for it is "partial 16S ribosomal RNA". It matches the Rfam family "Bacterial small subunit ribosomal RNA", at positions 338 to 795 of the family's 1533-position model. The record is from RNAcentral.
CCUACGGGCGGCAGCAGUAGGAAAUAUUGCUCAAUGGGGGAAACCCUGAAGCAGCAACGCCGCGUGGGGGAUGAAGGUUUUAGGAUUGUAAACUCCUUUUGUUAGAGAAGAUUAUGACGGUAUCUAACGAAUAAGCACCGGCUAACUCCGUGCCAGCAGCCGCGGUAAUACGGAGGGUGCAAGCGUUACUCGGAAUCACUGGGCGUAAAGAGUGCGUAGGCGGGGUAAUAAGUCAGAUGUGAAAUCCUGUAGCUUAACUACAGAACUGCAGUUGAAACUGUUACUCUGGAGUGUGGGAGAGGUAGGUGGAAUUCGUGGGGUAGGGGUAAAAUGCGUAGAGAUCAAGAGGAACACUCAUUGCGAAGGCGACCUGCUGGAACAUUACUGACGCUGAUGCACGAAAGCGUGGGGAGCAAACAGGAUUAGAUACCCGGGUAGUC